RNAcentral lists this ribosomal RNA (528 nucleotides) under Staphylococcus aureus. RNAcentral's name for it is "bacterial SSU rRNA". It matches the Rfam family "Bacterial small subunit ribosomal RNA", at positions 1013 to 1533 of the family's 1533-position model. Lineage: Bacteria; Bacillati; Bacillota; Bacilli; Caryophanales; Staphylococcaceae. The record is from RNAcentral. RNAcentral also lists the same sequence under 2 other names.
UUCCCCUUCGGGGGACAAAGUGACAGGUGGUGCAUGGUUGUCGUCAGCUCGUGUCGUGAGAUGUUGGGUUAAGUCCCGCAACGAGCGCAACCCUUAAGCUUAGUUGCCAUCAUUAAGUUGGGCACUCUAAGUUGACUGCCGGUGACAAACCGGAGGAAGGUGGGGAUGACGUCAAAUCAUCAUGCCCCUUAUGAUUUGGGCUACACACGUGCUACAAUGGACAAUACAAAGGGCAGCGAAACCGCGAGGUCAAGCAAAUCCCAUAAAGUUGUUCUCAGUUCGGAUUGUAGUCUGCAACUCGACUACAUGAAGCUGGAAUCGCUAGUAAUCGUAGAUCAGCAUGCUACGGUGAAUACGUUCCCGGGUCUUGUACACACCGCCCGUCACACCACGAGAGUUUGUAACACCCGAAGCCGGUGGAGUAACCUUUUAGGAGCUAGCCGUCGAAGGUGGGACAAAUGAUUGGGGUGAAGUCGUAACAAGGUAGCCGUAUCGGAAGGUGCGGCUGGAUCACCUCCUUUCUAAGGA